AUACGGAGGGUGCGAGCGUUAAUCGGAAUUACUGGGCGUAAAGCGUACGUAGGCGGUUGGUUAAGUUAGAUGUGAAAGCCCCGGGCUUAACCUGGAACUGCAUUUAAAACUGGCGAACUAGAGUUGAGUAGAGGGGAGUGGAAUUUCAGGUGUAGCGGUGAAAUGCGUAGAGAUCUGAAGGAACACCAGUGGCGAAGGCGACUCCCUGGACUCGAACUGACGCUGAGGUACGAAAGCGUGGGUAGCAAACCGGAUUAGAAACCCUAGUAGUCC
Molecule: ribosomal RNA, 273 nt
Filed under: uncultured bacterium
Lineage: Bacteria
Description: partial 16S ribosomal RNA
Rfam family: Bacterial small subunit ribosomal RNA
Source: RNAcentral